AAAGGAUUGGAAGGACCGGGAGGCUCCAGCGGGACGGAUCCAGCUCAGGCUCCGGCUCGGGGAGGAUUUAUCCCGGGAAUUGCGGAUCCUGCUGGCGGGGAAGCGCCAGGAUCCGGCCGGGAUCGAUGCCGGGAUCGAUGGAGCAUCCGCCCGGAACCGAGGGCGCCUGGAGGGCACCGGGAAGGGCGGCAAGGUCGGAGCCUUGGGAUGAUCCCAAGGGAUGAUCCCGGGAAAAGAUGGGAUUGUCCCUCCUGGAAUUGCUUUCCUGCAGUGGGAACCUCUCCUGGGUCACCCCACCUGGGAAUUUUCCCUGUGGAUGCGACGCCAAGUGAGACGGAAAUUCAGGAGAAGAAUCCGCUGAAAACCAGGAGAUCGAUCCACAAAAAAAUGGGAGAAGAAUCUCCAAAAACUGGGGAGAAAAAUCCCAAAAACCCCGAGAUGAAUCCACAAAAAAACCCCAGAUUAAUCCACAAAAAAUUGGGAGAAGAAUCUCCAAAAACCGGGAGAAAAAUCCCAAAAAAAGGAGAUGAAUACACAAAAAAAUCCAGAUCAAUCCACAAAAAAAUGGGAGAAAAUUUUCCAAAAUCCCAGGAGAAGAAUUCCCAAAAAAAACAGGAGAAGAAUCCCCCAAAACUGGGAGGAAAAAUCCCCCCAAAAAAACGAGAUGAAUCCACAAAAAUAAAACCCCAAUCAAUCCACCAAAAAAUGGGAGAAUAAUCCCCAAAAACUGCGAGGAAAAAUCCCAAAAAAAUGAGAUGAAUCCCCAAAAAACCAAGAGAAGAAUCCCCAAAAUCUGUGCGGAAAAAUCCCCAAAAAACCAGAUGAAUCCACAAAAACCCAGGAGAUCAAUCCCCAAAAACCAGGACAAGAAUUUCCAAAAUCCCAGGAGAAGAAUCCAGAAAAACCAGGAGAAGAAUCCCCAAAAUCCCAGGGAAGCUCCGGAACCAGAGAUUCCCGGGACACCGAGAAUUCCCAAUUUCUGCAGCUCCAGAAAAAGCCCCAAAAUUGGGAAUCCUCAGGGAAAACAACCCCAGGAUUGGGGUCGGGAUUGGGAUCCGGCCCCUUCCCGCUCCGGGUCCCUCUCCCAGCGGGAAUUGUGGCCAAUCCCAAAUUUAUCCAGGGAAAAGGUCACUCCCGUUUGGAGCGCUGAGCUCAGCCCGGCCCGGCCCAGAUUUAUCCCAGGCCUCCAAAAUAAUCCUGGGAUUGGGAUGGAUCCAAGGGA
RNAcentral lists this long non-coding RNA (1222 nucleotides) under Junco hyemalis (dark-eyed junco). Its description in RNAcentral is "lncRNA (ENSJHYG00000013468.1)". Lineage: Eukaryota; Metazoa; Chordata; Aves; Passeriformes; Passerellidae. The record is from RNAcentral.